CACAGGGAGGUAGUGACAAUAAAUAACAAUACAGGGCUCUUUGAGUCUUGUAAUUGGAAUGAGUACAAUUUAAAUACCUUAACGAGGAACAAUUGGAGGGCAAGUCUGGUGCCAGCAGCCGCGGUAAUUCCAGCUCCAAUAGCGUAUAUUAAAGUUGUUGCAGUUAAAAAGCUCGUAGUUGAACUUUGGGCCUGGGAGUAUGGUCUCUCUAACGGGAUGUACUGUACGCUUGGGCUCCACCUUUCGGGGAUCUGGGCUGCCUUUAACCGGGUGGCUCAGGGAUCCGAGACUAUUACUUUGAAAAAAUUAGAGUGUUCAAAGCAGGCUUAUGCUUGAAUACGUUAGCAUGGAAUAAUGGAAUAGGACCUUGGUUCUGUUUUGUUGGUUUAUAGGACCAAAGUAAUGAUUAAUAGGGACAGUUGGGGGCAUUAGUAUUUCAGGGCUAGAGG
This 449-nucleotide ribosomal RNA is filed under the name uncultured eukaryote. RNAcentral's name for it is "SSU rRNA". It matches the Rfam family "Eukaryotic small subunit ribosomal RNA", at positions 455 to 911 of the family's 1831-position model. The record is from RNAcentral.